Molecule: ribosomal RNA, 254 nt
Filed under: uncultured bacterium
Lineage: Bacteria
Description: partial 16S ribosomal RNA
Rfam family: Bacterial small subunit ribosomal RNA
Source: RNAcentral
CACGGGGGGAGCAAGCGUUGUUCGGAAUCACUGGGCGUAAAGGGCGUGUAGGCGGUCAAGUAAGUGGAAUGUGAAAGCCCCCGGCUUACCCGGGGAUCUGCAUCCCAAACUGCUUGGCUUGAGUACGGGAGAGGAUAGGGGAAUUCCUGGGUGUAGCGGUGAAAUGCGUAGAUAUCAGGAGGAACACCGGUGGCGAAGGCGCCUAUCUGGCCCGAUACUGACGCUGAGGCGCGAAAGCUAGGGGAGCAAACGGG